AACGAACGCUGGCGGCAGGCCUAACACAUGCAAGUCGAGCGGACCUUUCGGGGUCAGCGGCGGACGGGUGAGUAACGCGUGGGAAUAUGCCCUUCUCUACGGAAUAGUCCUGGGAAACUGGGGGUAAUACCGUAUAUGCCCUUUGGGGGAAAGAUUUAUCGGGGAAGGAUUAGCCCGCGUUGGAUUAGGUAGUUGGUGGGGUAAUGGCCUACCAAGCCGACGAUCCAUAGCUGGUUUGAGAGGAUGAUCAGCCACACUGGGACUGAGACACGGCCCAGACUCCUACGGGAGGCAGCAGUGGGGAAUCUUAGACAAUGGGGGCAACCCUGAUCUAGCCAUGCCGCGUGAGUGAUGAAGGCCUUAGGGUUGUAAAGCUCUUUCAGCUGGGAAGAUAAUGACGGUACCAGCAGAAGAAGCCCCGGCUAACUCCGUG
RNAcentral lists this ribosomal RNA (433 nucleotides) under uncultured bacterium. RNAcentral describes it as "partial 16S ribosomal RNA". It matches the Rfam family "Bacterial small subunit ribosomal RNA", at positions 29 to 507 of the family's 1533-position model. The record is from RNAcentral.